Long non-coding RNA from Tetranychus urticae (two-spotted spider mite), 955 nucleotides. RefSeq lists it as uncharacterized. The record is from RefSeq and is a predicted model, not a curated record. Lineage: Eukaryota; Metazoa; Arthropoda; Arachnida; Trombidiformes; Tetranychidae.
GCUAAGGAAAUAUAACAGAAAACAAAAAUGGGAUUUAUUUUAAAUGACACAAUAGAUAUCAUGACUUUGAUAACCAAAGAGUUACUCAGUGUAAAUAAAUAGACAAUCGAAAUGGAAACCAAGAAAAAGAAAUAAAAACUGAAAUCUAAAAAGCUGUAAGAUAAUGAAACAAAAAACAAAAAUAUGAAAGGGUAAUCUCGUACUUGAACAACAAGAAAAUGAACUUUCUUAUCAUUUUUUUGCUCAACUUUCUUCUAACACUCUCUUUCUCCGCCCUUCAUUUUUUCCCUCUUUUAUUUUUCCCUCUAUUUACCCUUUUCUCUGUCUACAUCUAGUGUCAUUACCUUAGCUUUCAUCCAAAUCACCUAAACCAUGUGUCACUUAAUUAUUCAAUUCAAUAUUUUGUGAAACAUUGAUAAUAGAGAAAAUUACUGAAUAAUAUCCAUUUCUAUUCAAAUUAAGUGAAUUGUGAUUAAAAUAGUGGACUAAAAUUCAUAUUGUUUCUCUUUAGUAACUACCAGUUGAGAUUAUGGUGACAACUUGGCGCCCAUUAGUGUUGACUCAUGAGUCUAUUGCGGUUUAUUUUCUACCAUCUUCAACAUCUAUGACAAUUUCUUGGCUUUUACCAUCACCAAUAGCUUAAAUGUAACAAGCUAAACCAUCUAAAUCAUUGUUAUCAACCAAUUGACAUCAUGUGUCUAAUGAUCUAAUUCAACAAUUCAAGGUUCUAGAGUUUAAUCACCUUGGAUUAAGAGCUUGUUAAUCUAGAAUGACUACUCAGUACUUUUUCGGUUAAAGAUUAAUUAAUCGGUCAAACCCAAAGCAAAAAACCCAAAACCAAAACCCGAAAGCGAAAAUUACAGCGCGUGGUGAAUUGUCUAUUUCAGUUUUUCUUGGUACCAGAACCAGAAGUGAAUGCUCACACAAAUCACCCAAAACUUUGAAGUUGACCAGG